Ovis aries (sheep) is the source of this 74-nucleotide non-coding RNA. Lineage: Eukaryota; Metazoa; Chordata; Mammalia; Artiodactyla; Bovidae. The record is from Rfam.
UCCCUGGUGGUCCAGUGGUUAAGACUCCACACUGCCAAUGCAGGGGGCCCCAGGUUCAAUCCCUGGUCAGAGAA